This 144-nucleotide ribosomal RNA is filed under the name uncultured eukaryote. Its description in RNAcentral is "partial small subunit ribosomal RNA". The record is from RNAcentral.
GUACACACCGCCCGUCACACCAUGGGAGUGGGUUGCAAAAGAAGUGGGUAGUCUAACCUUCGGGAGGGCGCUCACCACUUUGUGAUUCSWUGACUGGGGUGAAGUCGUAACAAGGUAGCCGUAGGUGAACCUGCAGAAGGAUCA